GGCCGGUAAAAAAAACCCAACGGGGAAUUGCCCUAGUAACGGCGAGUGAAGCGGCAACAGCUCAAAUUUGAAAUCUGGCUCUCGGGCCCGAGUUGUAAUUUGUAGAGGAUACUUUUGAUGCGGUGCCUUCCGAGUUCCCUGGAACGGGACGCCAUAGAGGGUGAGAGCCCCGUCUGGUUGGAUGCCAAAUCUCUGUAAAGUUCCUUCGACGAGUCGAGUAGUUUGGGAAUGCUGCUCUAAAUGGGAGGUAUAUGUCUUCUAAAGCUAAAUACCGGCCAGAGACCGAUAGCGCACAAGUAGAGUGAUCGAAAGAUGAAAAGCACUUUGAAAAGAGAGUUAAAAAGUACGUGAAAUUGUUGAAAGGGAAGCGUUUAUGACCAGACUUGGGCUUGGUUAAUCAUCUGGGGUUCUCCCCAGUGCACUUUUCCAGUCCAGGCCAGCAUCAGUUUUCGCCGGGGGAUAAAGACUUCGGGAAUGUGGCUCUCUUCGGGGAGUGUUAUAGCCCGUUGUGUAAUACCCUGGCGGGGACUGAGGUUCGCGCAUCUGCAAGGAUGCUGGCGUAAUGGUCAUCAACGACCCGUCUUGAACAACGGACGCAAACGG
RNAcentral lists this ribosomal RNA (603 nucleotides) under Fusarium verticillioides. RNAcentral describes it as "eukaryotic LSU rRNA". It matches the Rfam family "Eukaryotic large subunit ribosomal RNA", at positions 49 to 664 of the family's 3401-position model. The record is from RNAcentral. Lineage: Eukaryota; Fungi; Ascomycota; Sordariomycetes; Hypocreales; Nectriaceae.